GAUGAAGAACGUAGUGAAAUGCGAUACGUAAUGUGAAUUGCAGAAUUCAGUGAAUCAUCGAAUCUUUGAACGCAUAUUGCGCUCUCUGGUAUUCCGGAGAGCAUGCUUGUUUGAGUAUCAGUAAACACCUCAACUCCCCUUUCUUUUUUUGAAAUGGGAGCUGGACUUGAGUGAUCCCAACGCUUUUCUCACCGAAAAGUGGCGGGUUACUUGAAAUGCAGGUGCAGCUGGACUUUUCUCUGAGCUAAAAGCAUAUCUAUUUAGUCUGCCUAAAAAACAGAUUAUUACCUUUGCUGCAGCUAACAUAAAGGAGAUUAGUUCUUGUGCUGACUGAUGCAGGAUUCACAGAGACAGCUUCGGCUGGCCUUUGUAAACUCGAUCUCAAAUCAAGUAAGACUACCCGCUGAACUUAAGCAUAUCAAUAACGGAGGA
RNAcentral lists this unclassified non-coding RNA (432 nucleotides) under soil metagenome. RNAcentral's name for it is "partial contains 5.8S ribosomal RNA, internal transcribed spacer 2, and large subunit ribosomal RNA". The stretch from base 1 to 120 matches the Rfam family "5.8S ribosomal RNA", at positions 35 to 154 of the family's 154-position model. The record is from RNAcentral.